This 889-nucleotide ribosomal RNA is filed under the name uncultured Bacillota bacterium. RNAcentral's name for it is "bacterial SSU rRNA". It matches the Rfam family "Bacterial small subunit ribosomal RNA", at positions 15 to 917 of the family's 1533-position model. Lineage: Bacteria; Bacillati; Bacillota. The record is from RNAcentral.
GAUUAUGGCUCAGGACGAGCGCUGGCGGCGCGCCUAACACAUGCAAGUCGAACGAGAGAUGAGGAGCUUGCCCUUCAAAUCGAGUGGCGAACGGGUGAGUAACGCGUGAGGAACCUGCCUCAAAGAGGGGGACAACAGUUGGAAACGACUGCUAAUACCGCAUAAGCCCACAGCUCGGCAUCGAGCAGAGGGAAAAGGAGCAAUCCGCUUUGAGAUGGCCUCGCGUCCGAUUAGCUAGUUGGUGAGGUAACGGCCCACCAAGGCGACGAUCGGUAGCCGGACUGAGAGGUUGAACGGCCACAUUGGGACUGAGACACGGCCCAGACUCCUACGGGAGGCAGCAGUGGGGAAUAUUGCACAAUGGGGGAAACCCUGAUGCAGCGACGCCGCGUGGAGGAAGAAGGUCUUCGGAUUGUAAACUCCUGUUGUUGAGGAAGAUAAUGACGGUACUCAACAAGGAAGUGACGGCUAACUACGUGCCAGCAGCCGCGGUAAAACGUAGGUCACAAGCGUUGUCCGGAAUUACUGGGUGUAAAGGGAGCGCAGGCGGGAGAACAAGUUGGGAGUGAAAUCCAUGGGCUCAACCCAUGAACUGCUUUCAAAACUGUUUUUCUUGAGUAGUGCAGAGGUAGGCGGAAUUCCCGGUGUAGCGGUGGAAUGCGUAGAUAUCGGGAGGAACACCAGUGGCGAAGGCGGCCUACUGGGCACCAACUGACGCUGAGGCUCGAAAGUGUGGGUAGCAAACAGGAUUAGAUACCCUGGUAGUCCACACCGUAAACGAUGAUUACUAGGUGUUGGAGGAUUGACCCCUUCAGUGCCGCAGUUAACACAAUAAGUAAUCCACCUGGGGAGUACGACCGCAAGGUUGCAACUCAAAGGAAUUGACGGA